UCAUUUUUACCUUAUUUAUGUUUUUUUUUUUCUAUCAUUUUCUACCCUUUUUCUAUUUUCUUCAAAUAUAUUAUUUUUGCUCUUUCUUCAAUUUUUUUCUUUCUAAACUAGUUUUUUUUUUGCAGUACGUGGAUUGAGGUGGUGAUGGUGUCGUCUCCUGUAGAGUUUUUCGUGGUAGAAGAGUUCCAUGAACAUCAGAAAAACUUCAAGGUUAUUACCAAUGAACAGUUCACUAUCUGGCUCAUCUUUCUUUAUGGGAAGGUUGAUGAUUGAUAAUGCACAUAAACUGUUUAGUGAAAUGCUCGACUUAAAGUGUAAACUCACUUUUUGUUCCUUUGGUGCUUUAUUAUCUGCUUGCAUUGGAGGUGUUGUCAAGGGUUGUUUUCAGUUUAUCAGCUCCACUUACCUAACUCUGGAAGGUUGCUGCAGAUUGCAAAACUUCUUCAGUAUCAGUUUUACUGAGAUAAUAAUAUUUAUGAACUAAUAAUGGGGAUGAAAAUUUUAAUCGUUAGUUGUCAUAAGAAGCUUCAUUAUUAUGCUUACAAAUAAUAAUCACUAGGAAGCAAGGUCCAACAACGAAAUUUGUUUUCUUUUCUGUGACCAUGUUUCCUUUAUUUUGUAAGUUGUGUCCUAAAAAAGCAAUGGAUGUCAAUCUAAGUUUAUAUAUAUAUAUAUAUAUAUAUCAAAUGACAUGUUUACAGUGUUGUGUAAUUGUGCCUUCCUAGAAGGUUGCAACUCUCAUGACAUGGUUAUUUAGUAAUAAGUUACAUAUUUUCCUUUGCUCUA
Ricinus communis (castor bean) is the source of this 786-nucleotide long non-coding RNA. RefSeq lists it as uncharacterized. The transcript has 2 exons. Lineage: Eukaryota; Viridiplantae; Streptophyta; Magnoliopsida; Malpighiales; Euphorbiaceae. The record is from RefSeq and is a predicted model, not a curated record.